AUACGUAGGUGGCAAGCGUUGUCCGGAAUUAUUGGGCGUAGAGCGCGCGCAGGCGGUCCUUUAAGUCUGAUGUGAAAGCCCACGGCUCAACCGUGGAGGGUCAUUGGAAACUGGGGGACUUGAGUGCCGAAGAGGAAAGUGGAAUUCCAAGUGUAGCGGGGAAAUGCGUAGAGAUUUGGAGGAACACCAGUGGCGAAGGCGACUUUCUGGUCUGUAACUGACGCUGAGGCGCGAAAGCGUGGGGAGCAAACAGGAUUAGAUACCCUGGUAGUCCACGCCGUAAACGAUGAGUGCUAAGUGUUAGGGGGUUUCCGCCCCUUAGUGCUGCAGCUAACGCAUUAAGCACUCCGCCUGGGGAGUACGGUCGCAAGACUGAAACUCAAAUGAAUUGACGGGG
Molecule: ribosomal RNA, 397 nt
Filed under: uncultured bacterium
Lineage: Bacteria
Description: partial 16S ribosomal RNA
Rfam family: Bacterial small subunit ribosomal RNA
Source: RNAcentral